Molecule: ribosomal RNA, 517 nt
Filed under: bacterium A6M_VP6_C12
Lineage: Bacteria
Description: bacterial SSU rRNA
Rfam family: Bacterial small subunit ribosomal RNA
Source: RNAcentral
UACUACGGGAGGCAGCAGUGGGGAAUAUUGGACAAUGGGCGCAAGCCUGAUCCAGCCAUGCCGCGUGAGUGAUGAAGGCCCUAGGGUUGUAAAGCUCUUUCACCGAGGAGGAUAAUGACGUUACUCGCAGAAGAAGCCCCGGCUAACUUCGUGCCAGCAGCCGCGGUAAUACGAAGGGGGCUAGCGUUGUUCGGAAUCACUGGGCGUAAAGCGCACGUAGGCGGACUUUUAAGUCAGGGGUGAAAACCCGGGGCUCAACCCCGGAACUGCCUUUGAUACUGGAAGUCUUGAGUCCCAAAGAGGUGAGUGGAACUCCCAGUGUAGAGGUGAAAUUCCUAGAUAUUCCGAAGAACACCACUGGCGAAGGCGGCUCACUGUUUCCGGACAGACUCUAAGGUGCGAAAACCUGGGGAGCAAACAGGAUUAAAUACCCCGGUAUCCCCCCCCGUAAACAAAGGAAGCUACCCCCACGUAGCACCCCAUUUGUGGGCCCAGCUAACCCAUAAAGCUUCCCCCC